CGUGUAGGCGGCCAGGCAGGUCCGCUGUGAAAACUCGAGGCUCAACCUCGAGAGGUCGGUGGAAACCGUCUGGCUAGGGUCCGGAAGAGGAGAGUGGAAUUCCCGGUGUAGCGGUGAAAUGCGCAGAUAUCGGGAAGAACACCCGUGGCGAAGGCGGCUCUCUGGGACGGUACUGACGCUGAGACGCGAAAGCGUGGGGAGCGAACA
RNAcentral lists this ribosomal RNA (207 nucleotides) under uncultured bacterium. Its description in RNAcentral is "partial 16S ribosomal RNA". It matches the Rfam family "Bacterial small subunit ribosomal RNA", at positions 568 to 774 of the family's 1533-position model. The record is from RNAcentral.